This 452-nucleotide unclassified non-coding RNA is filed under the name Hevea brasiliensis (rubber tree). Lineage: Eukaryota; Viridiplantae; Streptophyta; Magnoliopsida; Malpighiales; Euphorbiaceae. The record is from RNAcentral.
UGCCUUAAAUUCUUCAUAAUGUAUCUGAAAAUUGUCAGGCCAAAACAUCAGUUUGCUUUAACCAAGAAAUAGCACUACUAAUUACUCUAUUGAAUUGAAGAUUCCACUGCAAAGAUACAAGCCAGCGAAACAAAAGGGAGGCAGGAAUAGCAAAAAAUGGACACAUAAGCUAAACAGGCACCAAAAAAAUUGGUUCCAUAUUGGUUAUAUUUAAAAAAGGCAAAUGGAAACAGGUACCCACAGGUACACAUAUAUAUAACCUAAUUAAAAUGGCCAUAAACACGCAAACAAGUUUACUAACAAAGAUUUGAUUAGAUUUAUGUGCUCAAUCCAAGUUGACAGAACCAAUCAGGAAAAAAAUACAGAUCCAAAAGACACUAAAACCUUUCUGCUUCUAUAUUUGGUAAAACCACAAAAGUGGCAAGAUGGGAUUUACCUUAUUACACCACAAA